This 199-nucleotide long non-coding RNA is filed under the name Lathyrus oleraceus (garden pea). RNAcentral's name for it is "Pisum sativum (pea) long non-coding RNA (PSAT_LNC020284)". Lineage: Eukaryota; Viridiplantae; Streptophyta; Magnoliopsida; Fabales; Fabaceae. The record is from RNAcentral.
AGGUGUCCGAGAAGGACGAUUGUCUAGAGAGGAGGUGUCAUCCAGCAAGAGGUAUGACAACAGUUUCAGCAACAUUGAGGAGAGUGAAGCUAACGCAGUUUCAGUUGGGAGGCAAAGGAGACCUCAGGUAAGAAGAAGUUAACCACCCCAUCAAUAACAUCAUCAAGUAUCAUCAGUCAUUCCGGUAUUUUCAGCCAAU